UUUAAGCAUUAUAAGUGUAUCCUAUUUGCAAAAUAGGGAGGAUUGAGUUAUAAU
Molecule: transfer RNA, 54 nt
Filed under: Plectus acuminatus
Lineage: Eukaryota; Metazoa; Nematoda; Chromadorea; Plectida; Plectidae
Description: tRNA-Cys
Source: RNAcentral